Molecule: ribosomal RNA, 497 nt
Filed under: uncultured bacterium
Lineage: Bacteria
Description: partial 16S ribosomal RNA
Rfam family: Bacterial small subunit ribosomal RNA
Source: RNAcentral
GAUGAACGCUGGCGGCGUGCCUAAUACAUGCAAGCCGAGCGAACAGACGAGGAGCUUGCUCCUCUGACGUUAGCGGCGGACGGGUGAGUAACACGUGGAUAACCUACCUAUAAGACUGGGAUAACUUCGGGAAACCGGAGCUAAUACCGGAUAACAUGUUGAACCGCAUGGUUUAACAGUGAAAGACGGUCUUGCUGUCACUUAUAGAUGGAUCCGCGCCGCAUUAGCUAGUUGGUAAGGUAACGGCUUACCAAGGCAACGAUGCGUAGCCGACCUGAGAGGGUGAUCGGCCACACUGGAACUGAGACACGGUCCAGACUCCUACGGGAGGCAGCAGUAGGGAAUCUUCCGCAAUGGGCGAAAGCCUGACGGAGCAACGCCGCGUGAGUGAAGAAGGUCUUCGGAUCGUAAAACUCUGUUAUUAGGGAAGAACAAAUGUGUAAGUAACUAUGCACGUCUUGACGGUACCUAAUCAGAAAGCCACGGCUAACUACGUG